RNAcentral lists this long non-coding RNA (391 nucleotides) under Phaseolus vulgaris (common bean). Its description in RNAcentral is "long non-coding RNA (PVUL_LNC003430)". The record is from RNAcentral. Lineage: Eukaryota; Viridiplantae; Streptophyta; Magnoliopsida; Fabales; Fabaceae.
GAAAUUUCAAAUAAACUCAUUUGAAAUUCCCACCAAAAACAAGUCACAUGGGAGGUGUGACCUUUUUCUACUAUGACACCUCCCAAAAACUAUACCUACACCACUCUCCUAAGUCACAUGGACAAUGUGACUUUAUUUUACAUUUUCACACACCUUUAUUUAAUAACCACACCUCCUAAAACUAUACAAGAGUAUUUCAAAGCUUGGCCUUGCCCCUCAUGGGAUGGACUUGGGCUCUUUGGGCUUUGGCCUUCUUGGGCUUGGGCUUGGGCCUCAUCUUUAUUUUAUGUCUUCUUUUAAUUUUGAGAAGACUAGAAGGAAGAACUUCAAAUGUGAGGGUGGAUGUCCUCUUCCUCCAUUAAUAAAAGCCUCCUUUAUUUGAUUCUCAUCA